This 29-nucleotide non-coding RNA is filed under the name Homo sapiens (human). Lineage: Eukaryota; Metazoa; Chordata; Mammalia; Primates; Hominidae. The record is from RNAcentral.
UACAUUGUGCCUGUUUGCCUGAAUUUGGA